CUUCUUCUUCCUUUUUUUUUUUUUAUGUCAUCAUGUUGAUUUGUCGUCACUGACCUAAUAAAGCAUGGCAUCACAUAUUUUGUUGGCUAGAAUUGUAGAGGUUAAAUUAAUCUGCGAUUUAAAAGUUCAUGAAGUAAAAAAUAUGAAAGCAAAAGUUGAUGGGGUAGAAUCACAUUUUCUGUAAAGGUCAAGGGGUAAAUUAUGCUUUCAGCCAAUUAAAUCUUAAUAAUUUAUCUAAUAAUAAUUGUUGAUGGAAGGAAAAAUGUUUUCCUUAUUCCCAUUUCAGUUUGUGAGGAGCUGCAAAGAAUUAUGAAUUCUUUUUGAUGAGGUUCUAAGACGGAUGGAAGGAAAAAUGUUCAUUGAUUGUCAUGGGACAGAUUGUGCUGUAAGAAGGAUGCUGGAGGCAUGGGUUUUUGCCAUCUUCAUCUCUUCAAUGUUGCAAUGCUUGGAAAGCAAGGUCGGAGACUCCUCUCUAACCGCCAGUCUCUUAUAUGUCGUAUUAUCAAAUCUAAAUAUUUUUCCAGACGAAGGUUUUUGGAGGUCCAAGAGAGUCAUAAUCCAAGCUAUAUAUGGAGGAGCAUAUUGUCUUCCAAAGAAUUGUUAUUACAUGGUAUAGAUGGAGGAUUGGUGAUGGCUCUGAUGUUCGUGUGUGGUAUGAUCCUUGGUUGCCUGUCAAUGAUAAUUUUUAUAUUCCCUCACCGAUGGUCCUAGGAACGGAGCAUUUUAGAGUCUGUGACCUUUUUGAGGAAGGUACGAGGAGUUGGAAUUUAUUUUUAUUGAGUAAUAUGUUCCCUUCUAGUGGAACUAUUUUGCAUAAUCGACAAGCUUAGAAAGCUGACUUUUGUUUGCACUAUAACAAUAUAUUACUUUUUUUUUCUUAAUUUUUGAAUAUAAUGGUGCUUUCAAUAGGAUUGAAGUUCAAAA
Molecule: unclassified non-coding RNA, 924 nt
Filed under: Hevea brasiliensis (rubber tree)
Lineage: Eukaryota; Viridiplantae; Streptophyta; Magnoliopsida; Malpighiales; Euphorbiaceae
Source: RNAcentral